Molecule: ribosomal RNA, 101 nt
Filed under: Acanthosepion pharaonis
Lineage: Eukaryota; Metazoa; Mollusca; Cephalopoda; Sepiida; Sepiidae
Source: RNAcentral
UUACGGCCAUCUCACUUUGAAACACCGGUUCCUGUACGAUCACCGAAGUUCAGCAACGUCGAGUGUUGUCAGUACCUAGUUGGGUGACCGCUUGGGAAUAG